GACGAACGCUGGCGGCGUGCUUAACACAUGCAAGUCGAGCGCUGAAGGCCUGGCUUUUGUUGUGUUGUAUUAGUGGCGAACGGGUGAGUAACACGUGAGUAACCUGCCCUCUUCUUUGGGAUAACUCCCGGAAACGGGUGCUAAUACUGGAUAUUCACUUAUCUUCGCAUGUGGGUUGGUGGAAGAGGUUGUUCUUGUGGGGUAUGGGCUCGCGGCCUAUCAGCUUGCUGGUUGGGUGAUGGACUACCAAGGCUUUGACGGGUAGCAGGCCUGGGAGGGUGACCGGUGAAAUUGGGACUGGGCUACGGCCCAGACUCCUACGGGAGGCAGCAGUGGGGAAUAUUGCACAAUGGGCGAAAGCCUGAUGCAGCGACGCGGCGUGAGGGAUGGAGGACUUCGGGUUGUAAACCUCUUUCGCUAAUGGUCAAGCAGGAACUGUGGGUUGUGGUGAGGGUAGUGGGUAAAGAAGCGCCGGCUAACUACGUG
RNAcentral lists this ribosomal RNA (486 nucleotides) under uncultured bacterium. RNAcentral's name for it is "partial 16S ribosomal RNA". It matches the Rfam family "Bacterial small subunit ribosomal RNA", at positions 28 to 507 of the family's 1533-position model. The record is from RNAcentral.